GACGAACGCUGGCGGCGUGCUUAACACAUGCAAGUCGAACGGAAAGGCCCUGCUUUUGUGGGGUGCUCGAGUGGCGAACGGGUGAGUAACACGUGAGUAACCUGCCCUUGACUUUGGGAUAACUUCAGGAAACUGGGGCUAAUACCGGAUAGGAGCUCCUGCUGCAUGGUGGGGGUUGGAAAGUUUCGGCGGUUGGGGAUGGACUCGGGGCUUAUCAGCUUGUUGGUGGGGUAGUGGCUUACCAAGGCUUUGACGGGUAGCCGGCCUGAGAGGGUGGCCGGCGACACUGGAACUGAGAGACGGUCCAGAGUCCGACGGGAGGGAGCAGUAGGGAAGCUUCCGCAAUGGGCGACAGACUGACGGAGCAACGCCGCGUGAGUGAUGAAGGUCGUCGGAUCGGAAAACUGUGUGAGUAGGGAAGAACAGAUGUGUCAGUAACUGUGCACAUCUUGACGGUACCUAAUAAGAAAGCCACGGCUAACUACGUG
Molecule: ribosomal RNA, 488 nt
Filed under: uncultured bacterium
Lineage: Bacteria
Description: partial 16S ribosomal RNA
Rfam family: Bacterial small subunit ribosomal RNA
Source: RNAcentral